UACGUAGGGUCCGAGCGUUGUCCGGAAUUACUGGGCGUAAAGAGCUCGUAGGUGGUUUGUCGCGUUGUUCGUGAAAACUCACAACUCAAUUGUGGGCGUGCGGGCGAUACGGGCAGACUGGAGUACUGCAGGGGAGACUGGAAUUCCUGGUGUAGCGGUGGAAUGCGCAGAUAUCAGGAGGAACACCGGUGGCGAAGGCGGGUCUCUGGGCAGUAACUGACGCUGAGGAGCGAAAGCGUGGGGAGCAAACAGG
RNAcentral lists this ribosomal RNA (253 nucleotides) under uncultured bacterium. Its description in RNAcentral is "partial 16S ribosomal RNA". It matches the Rfam family "Bacterial small subunit ribosomal RNA", at positions 524 to 776 of the family's 1533-position model. The record is from RNAcentral.